GAUUAGGGUUGUGACAUGAGAUCCUAUGAUGAUAAGAAAAUAGAAAACUUGGACUUUAUGAUGAAAACUAGUGACAGGUGAACUAGUGUAAUGGAGAGUGUAUGCAUGUAGCAUCAAUAGAAUAUGCAUGUUGGCUUCAAAGGACAUAUAUGCUAGAUGAAAAUGAAUGUUAACAUAUUGUUAAUUAUGGGAGAUUAUGUGCAUAUGAACCUAGUGUUGUGGGCCUAGGAUAGAUUGAGUGGCAUUUGAGCAUAGUGUAAAGAACACAUUGAUGCAAUGAACUUAGGGAUAGUUAAAUUCCCUGGUGUGAGUUAAUUAGUGUGGUUGAGACACUUGACAUGGACCUAGGGAUAGGU
This 356-nucleotide long non-coding RNA is filed under the name Ananas comosus (pineapple). RNAcentral's name for it is "long non-coding RNA (ACOM_LNC039933)". The record is from RNAcentral. Lineage: Eukaryota; Viridiplantae; Streptophyta; Magnoliopsida; Poales; Bromeliaceae.